GACGAACGCGGCGGUAUGCUUAACACAUGCAAGUCGAACGAGAAGUCUUUUAUUGAACCUUCGGGGGAUAUAAGAGACAGACAGUGGCGAACGGGUGAGUAACGCGUGGGCAACCUACCUAUCGGAGCGGGAUAGCCUCGAGAAAUCGGGAGUAAAACCGCAUAACACGGAUAUAUCGCAUGAUGAAUCCGUCAAAACUCCGGUGCCGAUAGAUGGGCCCGCGUCUGAUUAGCUAGUUGGUAAGGUAAGGGCUUACCAAGGCAACGAUCAGUAGCCGGUCUGAGAGGGCGAACGGCCACACUGGAACUGAGACACGGUCCAGACUCCUACGGGAGGCAGCAGUGGGGAAUAUUGCGCAAUGGGGGCAACCCUGACGCAGCAAUACCGCGUGAGUGAAGAAGGUUUUCGGAUCGUAAAGCUCUGUUAUUGGGGAAGAAGCAGUGACGUAC
Molecule: ribosomal RNA, 449 nt
Filed under: Pseudoramibacter alactolyticus
Lineage: Bacteria; Bacillati; Bacillota; Clostridia; Eubacteriales; Eubacteriaceae
Description: bacterial SSU rRNA
Rfam family: Bacterial small subunit ribosomal RNA
Source: RNAcentral